This 792-nucleotide long non-coding RNA is filed under the name Camelus dromedarius (Arabian camel). Its description in RNAcentral is "lncRNA (ENSCDRG00005021080.1)". The record is from RNAcentral. Lineage: Eukaryota; Metazoa; Chordata; Mammalia; Artiodactyla; Camelidae.
CCAGGGCCCGCGCCCGCGCGCGGGUCAGCAGGCUCUGGUAGCGAAAGGGCGACGUGAUGGCGGGAGGUAGCGGUCCAGGGCGAUAACACACAGGGUCUCGAUGCUGGCCGUCACGCACAGCACGUCCACGGAGGUCCAGAGCUCGCAGAAGAAGGAGCCAUACUCCCAGCGGCCCCACACCACGAUGGUGGCCCCGAACGGCACCACCAGCAGCCCCAUGACCAGGACAGAGAGCAAGCACGAUGACCUCUCAAAACUCAUACUAAAGAUGGCUCUGCAAAUAAAUGGUACCCAGACCCCAGUGAGAACAGUCAAGUUUGUCGCAGAGUUGCAGUCUGUCACAAAGUCGUGAGUGCCACAGGUUGAUUGUGAUCUAGUUCCCAAGUUUUCUGAAAAGAGGGCUACAAAGAGACCAUUUAGGAGCUUUUCUUUUCCAAAUCCAGCAGCUUCGUGCCACGCGAAUGGAUGAGUAACAGCAGCAGUUCUAAUGAUAGAUCGGCUCUUAUCUAUCUUUUGCUUUUCCACCCGUGAAAGAUUCUCGAAGUACUUUACAAGGGCCAGAUCCCGCGGGGGACGGCGUGCCGCUCUCAUUCCCUGCCUCGCAGAACAGUAACUGCAAAGGAAUGUUUAUCCCGGCACAGACUUCACUCCGAGGGUCGCAGUCCUCAGGGCUGUGGGUGAUUUCAGUCUACCUGCCUCUUGCCUUAGCUUGUGGGAGCAGUAUCAUUACGAGGCGACGGACUCUCUCCUUACAAAUUUUCGGUUCCUCUGGGCCGUCAAUAAAAGGCAGCU